GACGAACGCUGGCGGCGUGCUUAACACAUGCAAGUCGAGCGGUAAGGCCCUUUCGGGGUACGACGAGCGGCGAACGGGUGAGUAACACGUGGGUGACCUGCCCUCAGCUCUGGGAGUAAGCCUGGGAAACCGGGUACUAAUACUGGAUAUGACUCCAUGACGCAUGUUGGUGGGGUGGAAAGCCUUGUGCGGCUGAGGAUGGGCCCGCGGCCUAUCAGCUUGUUGGUGGGGUGAGGCCUACCAAGGCGACGACGGGUAGCCGGCC
Molecule: ribosomal RNA, 265 nt
Filed under: uncultured bacterium
Lineage: Bacteria
Description: partial 16S ribosomal RNA
Rfam family: Bacterial small subunit ribosomal RNA
Source: RNAcentral